This 1618-nucleotide long non-coding RNA is filed under the name Marmota monax (woodchuck). The record is from RNAcentral. Lineage: Eukaryota; Metazoa; Chordata; Mammalia; Rodentia; Sciuridae.
GGGAGACUUGACAGAGGAGGGGACAGUGGCCUGCAGAGCAGAAGAGCCUGCCGAAGGUUGCUGGGCAGCAGUGGCAGGUGGGGCCCAGCAACAGUCCUCUAUCUCAUCUCACCAUAGUGGCCUUGUGAGGGGGAAACAGCUCCUGAAGAUGGGGUGAGCCCCAGGCUGGGCCUGCCAGGCUGUGAGUUCAGGCCAGCGCCACCCAAGGCCCUUGCUGGCCACAGUGUGGAGAGGGCCCUGGAGUGCGGACACUAGCCAAUGAAGGACCUGUCGGGUGGUAUGGGUGUGCAGAACUGCUGCAGACCGGGGCCCUCCCCCUCCCUGUCACAGCCUGCAGAAGGGACCUUGGGUGGUGGGAAUGGAGGCCUCCAGAGCCAGGCAGGGUGGGUGCGGGGCUCUCCCGCCAGGCAACAAGAGGCUGGCCCGGGUGAGCACUGAGCUUGGCUCCCCUGAGCCGGGGCAGGGCAGUCCCUCCCCUGUGAGGAAGCCAGGGGUGAGGUGGCAUGUUCUGAGGCCCCCAUCCUCCUGCUCAGUUGGCCCGGAGAGCAGCCAGUGCAGCUGACUGCCCGGGGAUGCCAGCUGGGCCAGGGGUCAGGUGGCCCAAGGCCUGGAAAGGCUCUGCCCGGGCCUGGAGACUGUCACCACCACCCAGCUCACACAGUGGGGCCACACAAGCUGCAUGCCAUGUCAUUGUCACAAUGCCCCAAGGCCAUAUCACUGUCCCCGUGCACAGAUGGAGUCAGAGGUCCAGAGGAACCAGCCUGAGGUUCCCCGGGGGCACAUGGCAGCUCUGGGAUGACCCUGGGCUCUUCACCUCUGCACUGAGCCUGAGCAGGUCACACAGGCUGGGAGCCCUGGGGUGUCCCCUCACCCUUCCUGGGGAGGGGAUUGCUGGGUGAGCCUCCCACCAAGGGCAGUAGGUGGCAGGAGCACAAAACCGUCUGCUCUGACACUUCUGCCAGCGAGCUCCCCCUUGCUACCCGAGGAUGGCAUAGGUGGGUGUGGCCAAAGGGAUGCUGCUCUUCUGUAGAAAAGGCCCUUGUCCUAUAGCCCCACCGCCCAGGGCUCUGGCCCUUGGUCUUCUCUGGGUCCUCCCCCUCCUGUCUAAUUGGGGCUGUCCACCCCUCCGCUGUUCUCGGCCCACCGUGGGCUUGUAUGCUGGCAGGCAUGGCUGGCUCCUAGCAGCAUGGCCUCCAGUCCUCCACGGGAGCUUGCUCCUGGCACUGCUGCUGCCGUGGCCCAGGAAACUGGCCUGUGUGCCUCGCCUCAUCUAUUUUUAAGCACAGGCGCAUGAAAGAUUCACAGGCUGCUUUAUUUACAGGUGGCAGGGAUAGUGUCGGUCCCCUGAGGUUCGUCCACCGAGAGGCCUGAGGGGCGCGCAGGCCCCAGAGCCCACCUGAGUCUGGGCACUGCCUCCCUCCCUCCCUCCCGCUCCAGGCUGGCUUUGCUCUCCUCCACAGGAGCCUGGACUCCUGGAGCUGCCCACCCUCUGGCCCUGGCCCUGGGAGGGGCUGAGGUGCCCUCCCCUCCCAGGAGUGCAUCCCGAGAGCACCUCUUGGGCAGGUCUGGAGGAGGGGCAGGGUCACAAGGUUCUGCCUCAGAGAGCCCAGGGCAGCUG